ACUCCUACGGGAGGCAGCAGUGGGGAAUAUUGGACAAUGGGCGCAAGCCUGAUCCAGCCAUGCCGCGUGAGUGAUGAAGGCCCUAGGGUUGUAAAGCUCUUUCACCGGUGAAGAUAAUGACGGUAACCGGAGAAGAAGCCCCGGCUAACUUCGUGCCAGCAGCCGCGGUAAUACGAAGGGGGCUAGCGUUGUUCGGAUUUACUGGGCGUAAAGCGCACGUAGGCGGACUAUUAAGUCAGGGGUGAAAUCCCGGGGCUCAACCCCGGAACUGCCUUUGAUACUGGUAGUCUUGAGUUCGAGAGAGGUGAGUGGAAUUCCGAGUGUAGAGGUGAAAUUCGUAGAUAUUCGGAGGAACACCAGUGGCGAAGGCGGCUCACUGGCUCGAUACUGACGCUGAGGUGCGAAAGCGUGGGGAGCAAACAGGAUUAGAUACCCGAGUAGUCCCAUGAU
Molecule: ribosomal RNA, 450 nt
Filed under: uncultured organism
Description: partial 16S ribosomal RNA
Rfam family: Bacterial small subunit ribosomal RNA
Source: RNAcentral